RNAcentral lists this ribosomal RNA (497 nucleotides) under uncultured bacterium. Its description in RNAcentral is "partial 16S ribosomal RNA". It matches the Rfam family "Bacterial small subunit ribosomal RNA", at positions 28 to 507 of the family's 1533-position model. The record is from RNAcentral.
GGUGAACGCUGGCGGCGUGCCUAAUUCAUGCAAGUCGAGCGAACAGACGAGGAGCUUGCUCCUUUGACGUUAGCGGCGGACGGGUGAGUAACACGUGGAUAACCUACCUAUAAGACUGGGAUAACUUCGGGAAACCGGAGCUAAUACCGGAUAACAUGUUGAACCGCAUGGUUCAACAGUGAAGGACGGUCUUGCUGUCACUUAUAGAUGGAUCCGCGCCGCAUUAGCUAGUUGGUAAGGUAACGGCUUACCAAGGCAACGAUGCGUAGCCGACCUGAGAGGGUGAUCGGCCACACUGGAACUGAGACACGGUCCAGACUCCUACGGGAGGCAGCAGUAGGGAAUCUUCCGCAAUGGGCGAAAGCCUGACGGAGCAACGCCGCGUGAGUGAAGAAGGUCUUCGGAUCGUAAAACUCUGUUAUUAGGGAAGAACAAAUGUGUAAGUAACUAUGCACGUCUUGACGGUACCUAAUCAGAAAGCCACGGCUAACUACGUG